This 242-nucleotide long non-coding RNA is filed under the name Elaeis guineensis (African oil palm). RNAcentral describes it as "long non-coding RNA (EGUI_LNC013169)". Lineage: Eukaryota; Viridiplantae; Streptophyta; Magnoliopsida; Arecales; Arecaceae. The record is from RNAcentral.
CUAAUUCAAUCAAAUUUUAUUUAAUCCUCUUUGCUUAAUCAAAAUUAAGCUAAUAAGCAAUCUAAUUACUAAUUAAUCCUUCAUUAAUUCACUAAUACUUAGUGAAUUAAUUUAUUACAAUUUUUGCAUAAGGUUAACCAUCAAUCGAAUUGACGAUUAAGCCCUUAAACGAUUCUUAAUCAUUGACCAAUCAUAUGAUCAGUAAGAAAUUUUUUUUGAGUGUGACCUCAUAGAUUCGAACC